Lolium perenne is the source of this 3140-nucleotide long non-coding RNA. RefSeq lists it as uncharacterized. The record is from RefSeq and is a predicted model, not a curated record. Lineage: Eukaryota; Viridiplantae; Streptophyta; Magnoliopsida; Poales; Poaceae.
CUCCACCCGCACCCGUGAAACAAAACCAGCCCCCGGUACUGAAACCCUAGCGCCAAUCGCGCUCCCCCGAAUCCUUCGCAGCCGCCGCCGUCCGCCAUCGCCUCCGUCCUCCUCGCGCGCCCCCAGCCUCGCCACCACCUAGCAAAUUUUUCCCCAAUCUGGGCCGCCGGCGCGAUCCUCUUCCCAUUCGUCUCCUAUGGAAACUCCCCAUUCUCAGCCACCACAGCCGCGCAAUCCUUCUUCGCGGCCCCUCCCCGAUCUCGUGUCCCUCCCUCUCCUCGAUCUCCUUCUCUCCCGGCUCUCCCGGCGCUCUACCUUCGGUGCCGCUCACCCCGCCAGCGCGAUGCGGUCCGCCGGAUUCCUCCCACUGCCUUGUGACGCCUGCCAUGGCUGCACGGCGGCAAAUGGUAGGAAAGGAGUCGGCGGCUUACUCGCGCGAGAUUGUUGCAAGGAGGAGCAAGGGAAGGUGCCACCACCAUGUGUGGCGACGGAUCCGGUUAUCAGUCCCGUCGCCACCAUCGGUUCUCUUGUUUAUCUACUCAGAGGAGACAACAGGACACACGAGUAGAGGAGGAGCAAUUACAGAUAGCAAGCUGCGAUGAGGAAGGGCAGCGGAAGCUACCACCAUGGCUACUGCGAGCAUCGGCAUGGUCAGCGUAGUCAGACUCAUCUGCAAUGCAGGAACUGAGCACCAUCGUUCGUGCUUGAGAGAAACAACCAUCAUAAAAACAGCUAUAAGUAAAGUACAUGAACUUUGUAAUUACCUAUUUACCUGUUCUGAGAGGAUUUUCUCAUUGAACGAUAUACUUCUGAUAUACUUGUGAUUAUCUACUUACACCAAUCCGUUGUUUUGGCAGUUAUAUGUUGCAAUUUAAUUUCCAUCUGACAAUAUACAACUUUGGAACUGUCUUGGUAUAUUUUCUGGUAUACUAUCGACUUUUUGUGCAUAUUUAUAUGCUUUUAAUGUAUUUUCACAGGAAUAACUUUGUGGGGGCUGAAAACAAUCUUUUACUUGGUCCAUCGAUCAAGUAUUAUUUUUAAAAACAAACCGAGCAAGAAGAGUGCUAAAAUUGUUGUUUCAUGUUUCUUGGCGCGAAGCGUCAUCUCUUCUGCCAGCUCCUAGGGGUGGAUGCAGAAAUGACCCAAUGCUAGAUUUAAUAGAUUCUCUCGUCUUUGUUUUCUCUAAACCUGAGCCAAAUUCUUUGGUUUCUUUUUUUCACUCACAAUCAUGUAACCUUCUAGAUCCUGUAGGAGUUCUGCACACAAUAUUCUAAUGUAGUCAUUGUGACUUAGACCGCUUUGAUGCAGCCAAAACAGUCCAGGGAUGAAUGGACUAUUAUUUGGUGUUAUCUCCUUUCCCUCUGAUUUGAAUGAGGAAAGGGAGCUAUUAGUCCAAGUAUCAAUUUUAAGCAGGUGUUUAUGCCUCCAUGGACGAUUUUCCAUGCUCUUCUUAGAGUAUGGGCAUAUGAACACACACAGUUUCAGUUACAGACUUACAGUGUCAUCAUACAGUGGCAAUAGGUGCUUUCAUGUUGAUGUGAUACUUUAAGAGAGAGCUGGGGAACUAAAUAAAUGCAUAGACUUUCAGAGGAGAUGAAUAAAUUGUGGUUAGUGUACAUCUAUUUAUAGAAUAUUUUGAUCAGGACGGCUAGGGAAAAAGGGAACCUGCUUACAUGAGCAAUGAAUUAUUUUACACAAGAUGAUUUUCAGAGCAUGUCAAAAUUGGCCUAUGCUUGUGAACAAUCCAUCUCAGUGUGUUGUUUUGUGCAUUCUAGAUGUACUACUACAAUAUUCAAGGUGAGGUUACUGACUAACCAAAUUAAAAGAGAUGAGUUUGUUCUAUUCAAGUUUCUUGUGCAUUCUAUUUUGGGGAAACAGUUACUAUAAGAAGCUUUCUUCCCAAAACUGAAGUAUAUUGUUACGACGGAUUCUGUAACUAUUUGACUUGGUUUUGUAUCGACAGUUAUGGCGCAAAAAUUCACAGCGGCCUUAUUAUUCAAUGAAAUAUAACCAGGAGCAGAGGGACGAGUUCAAUGCCCAGUGCCAUUUAAUGAAACGCAGGUGAUGGGUGUUCUUUUUAUACUUUGUUUCUCCAUAUAUUUCUGAUCCCACCUUGGAUCGCUUAUUGCUGAAUAUUUUUUGCUUACUUCUUUUUUUGAUUGAACUAACAACUUCAUCCAAUUAUGGUUAUUGGACUGGCUGUAGUCGUUGUUUAGUGUAAUCUGGAAGGGUCAUCAUGCGUACUGCCACUUACGAAGCAUUGCUUCCGAGUGUAAUCUGAAAAUUAGAAUUUAAAGUAAUAUUGUUUCUCUUUGCUUGUAAUGUAAGAUGGAUAAUUCAUGAAAUAUCAUUUGACUUAUUUCUCGACUGCAGGAUGUGGUUAAUGUAAGAUGGAUAAUUCCUGAAAUAUGAAGGAUUUGUCGAUACAUAGUAGGUCUAAUUUUUUUAUCUUGCCGAAACUUGUACAUAUAUCUACCUCUUAAACUUUUUUUUUGCUUCAUUCAUGUAUAUUUAUCUGCUAUCACAUUUUGAUGUUUGUGAGCCAAUCUUGGCACGGCGUGUGGUGCCUCCUUUAACUAGUGCUCCGUGGAACCCUGGCGAGGCGUCCCUUUGGCCUGCUCACUAACUCCAGUGAUAUGUCCAUUGUAAGGGAUUCAGACCAGAAAGGAGGGAGUUCUGAUUUACAAGUUGUAUUGCAGGCGUUUUCACCUCCCGCCGUUUCUUCUGGUGCUCCCACGUGUUCAAGUCGCCGGUCAGAUCUCCUGUUUUGUGCGCAUCCUUGGUUACCGGUUGGUGUUGGAUCCCUCCCGCGAAAAUAAACCAGAUUAUAUGGGAGCAUGAGGGGUACUGCACAUAUGCAUUUCAAGGUUUUGUUUUCAGUUAUCUCUUUCCACAUUCUUGUGCUUCCCUUGGCUUUGGUAGCACGAUAAUUCUUUAAAUCAAACAUACAAAUCCAAGCCCUAUGGUUGCUAAUACAUUGUUCAGUGUUCAGGUCACCAACUGCUGCAAAACAAUAUUGUGAUUUACUCUGUUAUGAUAUUGAAAAAUAGUUGAGGGUCCAUUAUGUCCUUAUCUGAUCAGAUCGAUGAUUAAAGCAUGUUUUCUUUCCAGAAAGCUACUCCCUCCGUUCCUUUUUAAUU